Molecule: transfer RNA, 71 nt
Filed under: Planctomicrobium piriforme
Lineage: Bacteria; Pseudomonadati; Planctomycetota; Planctomycetia; Planctomycetales; Planctomycetaceae
Rfam family: tRNA
About the family: Transfer RNA (tRNA) molecules are approximately 80 nucleotides in length. Their secondary structure includes four short double-helical elements and three loops (D, anti-codon, and T loops).
Source: Rfam by way of RNAcentral
UACCCGGUAGUGUAACGGUAGCACAACAGUUUUUGGUACUGUUCGUCGAGGUUCGAAUCCUCGCCGGGUAA